Molecule: long non-coding RNA, 776 nt
Filed under: Homo sapiens (human)
Lineage: Eukaryota; Metazoa; Chordata; Mammalia; Primates; Hominidae
Description: non-protein coding lnc-OR2B3-2:1
Source: RNAcentral
AGGAAUCUGGGCAAUGCAAUUGCUCGAAAGAUCUUCAUUCUCUGGGGUUUCUUUGACCACCCCUAGCCGGAAAUGUUUCUCUUCAUAAUGGGGCUUGUUGCUUAUCUCUGCAUACUGGUGGACAACAUCUCAAUUAUUGUGGUACCCAGGGGAUAUUUUAGGGGAGCACCAAAUGCAUCAUUUUAGCUGUGACGUCUUUGGAUCCUUACAUUGCCAUCUGCAAACACUUGAGGUACCCAGCUAUCAUGCAUCAGCAACUCUGUGUCCUCCUAGUGGCCAUGGCAUGGCUAAGCAGUUUGGCCAACUCUACUUCAGUCAUCCCUUGCCGUCCAGCUGCCACUAGGCGGUAACAAGGUGGACGACUUUCUGUGUGAGGUCUCAGCGAUGAUCAAGAUAUCACGUUUUGACACCACAUUCAAUGUAUCUAUGCUCUCCAUUGUGAGGAUAUUUUAGUCCCUCGUUCUCUAAUCAAUUAUCUUUGCUUACUGUGGAUUCAUUGUAGCUACUGUGCUGAGGAUUCAGUCCUCAGGGGGAAAGAAGGAGGUCUUCAACACAUGUGGUUCUCAUAUUGUAUCUCUCCUCUAUGGGCCUGUAAUUAGCAUGUAUGUACAGCCCUCUGCCAACUCCCAGGACAAAAACAAAUUCAUGUCCCUGUUCUACAGUUUGGUGACUCCUAUGCUUAACCCUUUUAUCUACACUUUGAGCAACAGGGACAUAAAAGGGGCAAUGAGGAGGCUUCUUGUCUUUUUGUAUCACCAGGAAGAGAACAAAAGUAA